Numida meleagris (helmeted guineafowl) is the source of this 1082-nucleotide long non-coding RNA. RefSeq lists it as uncharacterized. The record is from RefSeq and is a predicted model, not a curated record. NCBI's taxonomy places the organism in Eukaryota, Metazoa, Chordata, Aves, Galliformes, Numididae. The transcript is spliced from 3 exons.
CUGUGGAUCCCUAUGUACUUAAGGCCUUCCAAAGGUAUUUCUCUGCUUGAGCUGUUCAGGUUGCCCGGAUCACCUAUUAAUAGACAGCUCCUCCAGUCUGAUCUGCUGAAGUAACAGAUAAAAAAGCUGCAAAGCAACGUACACACCAAAAGCAAACCAACCUUGCACAAAUUAUCCUGAUUCCUGCCUUGUGAGCAGAGACAGCUGUGACUGAUUCCAGCAAAACACCUUGCGUCUGGUCUACAAAGCCCGAGCUAAUCCGCACGUCGAACCAAAGCGGGUCCUUCCUCAUCACAUGCUUGUGCUGCCAGAGCAGGGGACGUGGAUAAUACUUUGGAGCCACUACAAACGCUUUGGAAAAGACUCUGCCAUGGUAGCAAACAGCUGGUGUAGCUAAUCCAUUUUCCAAGCACAUUUGCAAGAUACAUAAUUAAGAGUUCUGUUGAGGGGCGAAGCAAAGCAAACCAUUAGAUUUGUUUAUAACAUUAUGGGUAGUGUAAUACUCACUCAGGAUCUCCUUUUCCUGCAAAAGGCAUUAAGGUGAUCCUUAGGAAACAUCCCUGGGAUUUCCUGAUGAUGCCUGCAUGACAUUAAAUUUGUGUGAAUAUUUUCAAUUCCAUUUGCCGUAUAAUUAAGCACUAUGAAGGAUCCCACAGAUUUUUUGGACUUGUAAAUUGCUGGAUCAAUCCAAAUGAUAUUCCUUUGAGUUCUCUCUUCUGAUUUCCAUUGUCUCUCAGGCACAAAUUGGGACGGUUUGAGGAAGAGGAUGAGCAAGUUCCUUCAGCCUCAUCGUGGCAGCAUGCUGACAAGUUGCAUGUGCUUCACCUGCCAUUAACUCAUUGCUCAGUGACAAGCACUUGGUUGACACAUUGGCACGUGUUGGUCUUAGCAGGGCUCCUCUCUCCCAGACAGUUUCUUCCAAAGCAAAUGAACACCGUGCAGGUUGAAACCAACCUGGUUGUGGCCCAUGUCCAAAGCAAUGUUUGUGUUUAAAUGUCUCUGAGUUUAGGGCACCUGCUGCAACGUGGCACUGUGGAUUGGGUCUGCAAAGGGAGGCUGCAUGAGGGAAGAGCAGGCGUGGA